This 864-nucleotide ribosomal RNA is filed under the name Algibacter agarilyticus. RNAcentral describes it as "bacterial SSU rRNA". It matches the Rfam family "Bacterial small subunit ribosomal RNA", at positions 56 to 916 of the family's 1533-position model. The record is from RNAcentral. Lineage: Bacteria; Pseudomonadati; Bacteroidota; Flavobacteriia; Flavobacteriales; Flavobacteriaceae.
UGCAAGUCGAGGGGUAACAUCGCAGUGCUUGCACUUGAUGACGACCGGCGCACGGGUGCGUAACGCGUAUACAAUCUACCUUUUGCUGAGGAAUAGCCCAGAGAAAUUUGGAUUAAUGCCUCAUAGUAUGCAGACUUCGCAUGGAGACUGUAUUAAAGGUUACGGCAAAAGAUGAGUAUGCGUCCUAUUAGUUAGUUGGUAAGGUAACGGCUUACCAAGACAGCGAUAGGUAGGGGCCCUGAGAGGGGGAUCCCCCACACUGGUACUGAGACACGGACCAGACUCCUACGGGAGGCAGCAGUGAGGAAUAUUGGACAAUGGAGGCAACUCUGAUCCAGCCAUGCCGCGUGCAGGAAGACUGCCCUAUGGGUUGUAAACUGCUUUUAUACGGGAAGAAACACCACUACGUGUAGUGGCUUGACGGUACCGUAAGAAUAAGGAUCGGCUAACUCCGUGCCAGCAGCCGCGGUAAUACGGAGGAUCCAAGCGUUAUCCGGAAUCAUUGGGUUUAAAGGGUCCGUAGGUGGAUAAUUAAGUCAGAGGUGAAAGUUUGCAGCUCAACUGUAAAAUUGCCUUUGAUACUGGUUAUCUUGAAUCAUUAUGAAGUAGUUAGAAUAUGUAGUGUAGCGGUGAAAUGCAUAGAUAUUACAUAGAAUACCAAUUGCGAUGGCAGAUUACUAAUAAUGUAUUGACACUGAUGGACGAAAGCGUAGGUAGCGAACGGGAUUAGAUACCCCGGUAGUCUACGCCGUAAACGAUGGAUUCUACCUGUUGGACUUCGGUUCAGUGUCUAAGCGAACGUGAUAAGAUAUCCCACCUGGGGGAGUACGUUCCACAGAAUGAAAACUCAAAGGAAAUUGACGG